Molecule: long non-coding RNA, 299 nt
Organism: Dreissena polymorpha
Lineage: Eukaryota; Metazoa; Mollusca; Bivalvia; Myida; Dreissenidae
Exons: 3
Source: RefSeq, a predicted model, not a curated record
UUGAUUUUGAGGUCACUAGGUCAAAGGUCAUGGUGACCCGAAAUAGUAAAAUGGUUUCCGGAUGAUAACUCAAAAACGCUUAUGCCUAGGAUCAUGAAACUUCAUAGGUACAUUGAUCAUGACUCGCAGAUGACCCCUAUUGAUUUUCAGGUCACUAGGUCAAAGGUCAAGGUCACGGUGACCCGAAAUAGUAAAAUGGUUUCCGGAUGAUAACUCAAGAACGCUUAUGCCUAGGAUCAUGAAACUUGAUAGGUACAUUGAUCAUGACUCGCAGUUGACCCCUAUUGAUUUUCAGGUCA